This 490-nucleotide ribosomal RNA is filed under the name uncultured bacterium. RNAcentral's name for it is "partial 16S ribosomal RNA". It matches the Rfam family "Bacterial small subunit ribosomal RNA", at positions 28 to 507 of the family's 1533-position model. The record is from RNAcentral.
GAUGAACGCUAGCGAUAGGCUUAACACAUGCAAGUCGAGGGGCAGCAUGGUCUUAGCUUGCUAAGACUGAUGGCGACCGGCGCACGGGUGCGUAACGCGUAUGCAACUUGCCUCACAGAGGGGGAUAACCCGUCGAAAGACGGACUAAUACCGCGUACACUUGGGAUAGGGCAUCCUGACCCAAGGAAAUGAAAUUCGCUGUGAGAUAGGCAUGCGUCCCAUUAGCUAGUUGGUGAGGUAACGGCUCACCAAGGCGACGAUGGGUAGGGGAACUGAGAGGUUGAAACCCCAAAAUGGUAAUGAGACACAGACCAGAAUCCUACGGGAGGCAGCAGUGAGGAAUAUUAGGCAAUGGGCGAGAGCCUGAAACAGCCAAGUCGCGUGAAGGAUGACUGGCUUAUGGAUUGUAAACUUCUUUGAUACGGGAAUAACAAGAGCCACGUGUGGCUCCCUGAAUGUACCGGAUGAAUAAGCAUCGGCUAACUCCGUG